RNAcentral lists this ribosomal RNA (488 nucleotides) under uncultured bacterium. RNAcentral describes it as "bacterial SSU rRNA". It matches the Rfam family "Bacterial small subunit ribosomal RNA", at positions 11 to 526 of the family's 1533-position model. The record is from RNAcentral.
GUUUGAUCAUGGCUCAGAUUGAACGCUGGCGGCAUGCCUUACACAUGCAAGUCGAACGGUAACAGGUUAAGCUGACGAGUGGCGAACGGGUGAGUAAUAUAUCGGAACGUGCCCAGUAGUGGGGGAUAGCCCGGCGAAAGCCGGAUUAAUACCGCAUACGACCUACGGGUGAAAGAGGGGGAUCGCAAGACCUCUCGCUAUUGGAGCGGCCGAUAUCAGAUUAGGUAGUUGGUGGGGUAAAAGCCUACCAAGGCGACGAUCGGUAGCUGUUCUGAGAGGAAGAUCAGCCACACUGGGACUGAGACACGGCCCAGACUCCUACGGGAGGCAGCAGUUGGGAAUCUUGGACAAUGGGGGAAACCCUGAUCCAGCCAUGCCGCGUGAGUGAUGAAGGCCUUCGGGUUGUAAAACUCUUUCGCGCACGACGAUAAUGACGGUAGUGCGAGAAGAAGCUCCGGCUAACUUCGUGCCAGCAGCCGCGGUAAUAA